RNAcentral lists this microRNA precursor (196 nucleotides) under Oryza rufipogon (brownbeard rice). Its description in RNAcentral is "MIR812 microRNA precursor family". It matches the Rfam family "MIR812 microRNA precursor family". The record is from Rfam by way of RNAcentral. Lineage: Eukaryota; Viridiplantae; Streptophyta; Magnoliopsida; Poales; Poaceae.
AAAAAGACAAACCCUAGGUUUCCGUGUCCAACGUUUGACCCUCCGUCUUAUUUAAAAAAAAUUAAAAAGAUAAGACACGCAUAAAGUAUUAAUCAUGUUUUAUCAUCUAACAACAAUGAAAAUACUAAUUAUAAAAAAAAUUUAUAUAAGACAAACAGUCAAACGUUGGACACGGAAACCUAGGGUUUAUUUUUUG